AGUCGAACGGUGAUGGAGAGCUUGCUCUCCGGAUCAGUGGCGAACGGGUGAGUAACACGUGAGUAACCUGCCCCUGACUCUGGGAUAAGCGUUGGAAACGACGUCUAAUACCGGAUAUGACUUACGGACGCAUGUUCUGUGGGUGGAAAGAUUUUUCGGUUGGGGAUGGACUCGCGGCCUAUCAGCUUGUUGGUGAGGUAAUGGCUCACCAAGGCGACGACGGGUAGCCGGCCUGAGAGGGUGACCGGCCACACUGGGACUGAGACACGGCCCAGACUCCUACGGGAGGCAGCAGUGGGGAAUAUUGCACAAUGGGCGCAAGCCUGAUGCAGCAACGCCGCGUGAGGGACGACGGCCUUCGGGUUGUAAACCUCUUUUGGCAGGGAAGAAGCGAAAGUGACGGUACCUGCAGAAAAAGCACCGGCUAACUACGUGCCAGCAGCCGCGGUAAUACGUAGGGUGCAAGCGUUGUCCGGAAUUAUUGGGCGUAAAGAGCUCGUAGGCGGUUUGUCGCGUCUGCUGUGAAAACGCGAGGCUCAACCUCGCGCCUGCAGUGGGUACGGGCAGACUAGAGUGCGGUAGGGGAGAUUGGAAUUCCUGGUGUAGCGGUGGAAUGCGCAGAUAUCAGGAGGAACACCGAUGGCGAAGGCAGAUCUCUGGGCCGUUACUGACGCUGAGGAGCGAAAGCGUGGGGAGCGAACAGGAUUAGAUACCCUGGUAGUCCACGCCGUAAACGUUGGGAACUAGAUGUGGGGUCCAUUCCACGGAUUCCGUGUCGCAGCUAACGCAUUAAGUUCCCCGCCUGGGGAGUACGGCCGCAAGGCUAAAACUCAAAGGAAUUGAC
RNAcentral lists this ribosomal RNA (844 nucleotides) under uncultured bacterium. RNAcentral's name for it is "bacterial SSU rRNA". It matches the Rfam family "Bacterial small subunit ribosomal RNA", at positions 60 to 914 of the family's 1533-position model. The record is from RNAcentral.